Molecule: ribosomal RNA, 253 nt
Filed under: uncultured bacterium
Lineage: Bacteria
Description: partial 16S ribosomal RNA
Rfam family: Bacterial small subunit ribosomal RNA
Source: RNAcentral
GACAGAGGGUGCAAACGUUGUUCGGAAUUACUGGGCGUAAAGCGCGUGUAGGCGGCCAAGCAAGUCGGAUGUGAAAGCCCUCGGCUCAACCGGGGAAGUGCACUCGAAACUGCAGAGCUUGAGUGCCGGAGAGGGUGGCGGAAUUCCCCAAGUAGAGGUGAAAUUCGUAGAUAUGGGGAGGAACACCGGUGGCGAAGGCGGCCACCUGGACGGUAACUGACGCUGAGACGCGAAAGCGUGGGUAGCAAACAGG